GAAACAUUUCUGAGACCAGACGGAGUUGAAAGUAUAUUUUUCGCUGUACUGUACAGAUUGAAUUCAAAGAACUUUCUGUUGUAGAGUCACGAUGGAAUUUGCUUGUGGGUUUGUUUAUGUGCCGCCAUCAUUGAGUCAGAAGGAGAGACGCUAUCCAAACAUCACUAAACGUUCAGCUCUUCUUCCUCCUAAUCCUCGGCUUCGUCCUCAGUCUCCUCCUCCUCCGCCGCCUGUCCCACCAAGAAAGCACCUUGAGACAGAGUCAGAAAAUAGCAAGGAUGUGAAGAAAGUCCUGGAGAACUCUGUUUUCUAUGAAAAUACUAUACUGGCAGCAGCUUCUUUGAACAGUGUAAAACCUGAGCAGCCAACACCACCUAAAA
Long non-coding RNA from Maylandia zebra (zebra mbuna), 380 nucleotides. RefSeq lists it as uncharacterized. NCBI's taxonomy places the organism in Eukaryota, Metazoa, Chordata, Actinopteri, Cichliformes, Cichlidae. The record is from RefSeq and is a predicted model, not a curated record.